CCACCAUCUUCUUGACUUAGCCUUCCACCAUUGCCUACAAAGAUCAUCAGAUUGUUAGGAGGGAUGAGAGGAUUUAAAAAAGAAGAGAGAGAUAGAGAGAAAGAGAGAAGUCUAAGCUUUGAAUUAAAGAAUUGGCCAAAACUUCCCUUUUCCAUAUACACCGAUAUACCAUUUUUUAUAUAUCAAAACCAUCCAAGAAAUUUCAUUAUAUCCAAAUUCUAGUAGCUUUGAUUAAAGGAAGAGUGAUUGUUAUUGAAAGUAAGAAAAUCAUUGAGUUAAACAAUUCCCCCUACACACACUGUUAAACAACCCGAAAACACCAUUCUAGCAAAAAUUCCAAGUUUUUGAAUUGAGGAUUGAGAACAUAAUUCACAACCUGGAGGAUAAUCAAAGGGAAGUUUGGAAAUCAAGAAGUUCAUCAUUUCCUUAGAAGUUCCUAUUCAGAACAUGUAAGCAUGAAUUUGAUUGGUAGGAUCCAUAGCCGCUUGUAUUGCAAAGGCACCAAGCACACUAAUGAGGAUCAAAGCAUCAGGAACAGUCGAUUUCUUUGCUUUAAACUCAUUUAAAAGAUCAAAGGCAGCCUCACAUUCCCAGAAAACAUAGUUGUCCAUACAACACAAUUCUUCUAGGAAAAUGAAUCAAAAAGCCUUCUGGCUUCUACCAUUUUACCUUCUCUACACGAUAUAGAGAGGUGGGCUAGGAAUAAGGAGGAUUACAAAGGUUAAUGACUGUCUUCUUUCCAAAUGGUGGUGGAGGUAUGCUAAUAAAGAUCAUGCUCUAUGGAAAAGAAUUAUUUGUUCAAAGUACGCUGUGAUAGGAGGCAGAUGGUUACCUUUUAUGGGAAUUGGUAACAGAGGCUCUAGGGUCUGGAUUGACAUUCUGAGCAUACUUUGAAAAAAAAUACAAUAAAAAAUAUAAAAAUGAAUGAAGAUACAAUAAAAACUGCAAUCAUCCUAAUACAAAAGGUAAAUUUAUAUGCAUCGCACUCUGGAGAAAUCCACUGCUUUGUGACAUCAUUAAAGUGUUUGGAUUUGUAAACACGUGGCAACUCUGGUAGUUGGCUCCCAUUUGCAGUUGUCUGAUUUUUUUGUUCAACUCGUAAAUUAAAUAAGAAUGAUGGUAGUAGAAUCAACUUUAAAAAAAAAUAAUAAAUAAAAAAAAAAUUUUAAAAAUUAAAGACUCACCACCUCGUGUACCUUAACUGGCAGAGACUUCGACCCACAUCUAUGCUUCAUAUUCAAUUGUUUUCUAUUGUUAAUGUUAGCUAUUGAUUGCUUUUACAAGAAGUAAGUUCCAAUAGAAAAAUAUAUAUAUUACGAAGACAUAAGGUAAUUGUCAACAAUAAAGAAACAUAAGAAAAGUUUACCAACCAAUUGCUAUCAUUCCACUUCUUGUCAAUCAAGUUUUUCCAUUUCUUGAGGUCAUAUCCAGGCGGUGGGUGGCUUCUAGCAUACUCCUCUCCCUUAGCAGUCUUAAGAUUUAGGUAUUUUUUUCAUAGUCUGUAGGUGUGGGUGCUCAAACUCCG
Non-coding RNA from Camellia sinensis, 1525 nucleotides. The record is from RefSeq and is a predicted model, not a curated record. Lineage: Eukaryota; Viridiplantae; Streptophyta; Magnoliopsida; Ericales; Theaceae.